UACGGAGGAUCCGAGCGUUAUCCGGAUUUAUUGGGUUUAAAGGGUGCGUAGGCGGUUUGAUAAGUUAGAGAUGAAAUGUCGGGGCUCAACCCCGAAACUGCCUCUAAUACUGUUGGACUAGAGAAUAGUUGCGGUAGGCGGAAUGUAUGGUGUAGCGGUGAAAUGCUUAGAGAUCAUACAGAACACCGAUUGCGAAGGCAGCUUACCAAACUAUAUCUGACGUUGAGGCACGAAAGCGUAGGUAGCAAACAGG
Molecule: ribosomal RNA, 253 nt
Filed under: uncultured bacterium
Lineage: Bacteria
Description: partial 16S ribosomal RNA
Rfam family: Bacterial small subunit ribosomal RNA
Source: RNAcentral